AUACCGGAUGUGGCCACCCUGCGAUUGCAGGGGAAGCUAAAGGACUUAUUCACUUCCCGAGGGGCUCGCGGCCCAUCAGCUUGUUGGUGAGGGUAACGGCCCACCAAGGCGACAACGGGUAGCUGGUCUGAGAGGAUGGUCAGCCACACUGGAACUGAGACACGGUCCAGACACCUACGGGUGGCAGCAGUCGAGAAUCAUUCGCAAUGGGGGAAACCCUGACGAUGCGACGCCGCGUGGAGGAUGAAGGCCUUAGGGUUGUAAACUCCUGUCAAGAGGGAAUAAGCAAGUGAAGGUACCUCUAGAGGAAGGGGCGGCUAAUUCCGUGCCAGCAGCCGCGGUAACACGGAAGCCCCGAGCGUUGUUCGGAUUCAUUGGGCGUAAAGGGUGCGUAGGCGGCGCGGAAAGUCCGGCGUGAAAGGCAGGGGCUCAACCUCUGGACUGCGUUGGAUACUUCCGUGCUUGAGGACUGGAGGGGAGACUGGAAUUCACGGUGUAGCAGUGAAAUGCGUAGAUAUCGUGAGGAAGACCGGUGGCGAAGGCGAGUCUCUGGACAGAUCCUGACGCUGAGGCACGAAGGCUGGGGGAGCGAACAGGAUUAGAUACCCUGGUAGUCCCAGCAGUAAACGAUGUGAGCUUGAUGUGGGGGGAUUCGACCCCUUCCGUGUCGAAGCUAACGCGAUAAGCUCACCGCCUGAGGAGUACGGCCGCAAGGCUAAAACUCAAAGAAAUUGACGGGGACCCGCACAAGCGGUGGAGUAUGUGGCUUAAUUCGAUGCAACGCGAAGAACCUUACCUGGCCUUGACAUGCAUUGUGUCGUCGGUGAAAGCCGGCUAGUCCUGGAAACAGGACGCUUUGCACAGGUGCUGCAUGGCUGUCGUCAGCUCGUGUCGUGAGAUGUUGGGUUAAGUCCCGCAACGAGCGCAACCCUUGUGGUCAGUUACUAACCGGCUUAGCCGGAGGACUCUGGCCAGACUGCCCUGUCAAACGGGGAGGAAGGUGGGGACGACGUCAAGUCAGUAUGGCCACUUAUGGCCAGGGCUGCACACGUACUACA
Molecule: ribosomal RNA, 1058 nt
Filed under: uncultured organism
Description: bacterial SSU rRNA
Rfam family: Bacterial small subunit ribosomal RNA
Source: RNAcentral